AGUUCCCUGGAACGGGACGCCGGAGAGGGUGAGAGCCCCGUACAGGCGGACGCCGAGCCUCUGUGAAACUCCUUCGACGAGUCGAGUAGUUUGGGAAUGCUGCUCAAAGCGGGGAGGUAAAUUUCUUCUAAAGCUAAAUAUAGGCCAGAGACCGAUAGCGCACAAGUAGAGUGAUCGAAAGAUGAAAAGCACUUUGAAAAGAGGGUUAAAAAGCACGUGAAAUUGUUGAAAGGGAAGCGCCUGUGACCAGACUCGCGCCCGGCGUAUCAUCCGGCGUUCUCGCCGGUGCACUACGCCGGGCUCGGGCCAGCAUCGGUUCUGGUGGGGGGAUAAAGGCGGCGGGGAUGUGGCUCCCCCGGGAGUGUUAUAGCCCGCCGCUCAAUGCCCUCGCCGGGACCGAGGACCGCGCAUUGCAAGGAUGCUGGCGUAAUGGUCACCAGCGACCCGUCUUGAAACACGGACCAAGGAGUCAAGCAUUAGGGCGAGUGUUUGGGUGUAAAACCCGCACGCGAAAUGAAAGUGAACGUAGGUGG
This 533-nucleotide ribosomal RNA is filed under the name soil fungal sp. DM2-457. RNAcentral's name for it is "eukaryotic LSU rRNA". It matches the Rfam family "Eukaryotic large subunit ribosomal RNA", at positions 184 to 738 of the family's 3401-position model. Lineage: Eukaryota; Fungi. The record is from RNAcentral.